UUAAUCGGGGCAGGGUGAGUCGACCCCUAAGGCGAGGCCGAAAGGCGUAGUCGAUGGGAAACAGGUUAAUAUUCCUGUACUUGGUGUUACUGCGAAGGGGGGACGGAGAAGGCUAUGUUGGCCGGGCGACGGUUGUCCCGGUUUAAGCGUGUAGGCUGGUUUUCCAGGCAAAUCCGGAAAAUCAAGGCUGAGACGUGAUGACGAGGCACUACGGUGCUGAAGCAACAAAUGCCCUGCUUCCAGGAAAAGCCUCUAAGCAUCAGGUAACAUCAAAUCGUACCCCAAACCGACACAGGUGGUCAGGUAGAGAAUACCAAGGCGCUUGAGAGAACUCGGGUGAAGGAACUAGGCAAAAUGGUGCCGUAACUUCGGGAGAAGGCACGCUGAUAUGUAGGUGAAGCGACUUGCUCGUGGAGCUGAAAUCAGUCGAAGAUACCAGCUGGCUGCAACUGUUUAUUAAAAACACAGCACUGUGCAAACACGAAAGUGGACGUAUACGGUGUGACGCCUGCCCGGUGCCGGAAGGUUAAUUGAUGGGGUCAGCGCAAGCGAAGCUCUUGAUCGAAGCCCCGGUAAACGGCGGCCGUAACUAUAACGGUCCUAAGGUAGCGAAAUUCCUUGUCGGGUAAGUUCCGACCUGCACGAAUGGCGUAAUGAUGGCCAGGCUGUCUCCACCCGAGACUCAGUGAAAUUGAACUCGCUGUGAAGAUGCAGUGUACCCGCGGCAAGACGGAAAGACCCCGUGAACCUUUACUAUAGCUUGACACUGAACAUUGAGCCUUGAUGUGUAGGAUAGGUGGGAGGCUUAGAAGUGUGGACGCCAGUCUGCAUGGAGCCGACCUUGAAAUACCACCCUUUAAUGUUUGAUGUUCUAACGUUGACCCGUAAUCCGGGUUGCGGACAGUGUCUGGUGGGUAGUUUGACUGGGGCGGUCUCCUCCUAAAGAGUAACGGAGGAGCACGAAGGUUGGCUAAUCCUGGUCGGACAUCAGGAGGUUAGUGCAAUGGCAUAAGCCAGCUUGACUGCGAGCGUGACGGCGCGAGCAGGUGCGAAAGCAGGUCAUAGUGAUCCGGUGGUUCUGAAUGGAAGGGCCAUCGCUCAACGGAUAAAAGGUACUCCGGGGAUAACAGGCUGAUACCGCCCAAGAGUUCAUAUCGACGGCGGUGUUUGGCACCUCGAUGUCGGCUCAUCACAUCCUGGGGCUGAAGUAGGUCCCAAGGGUAUGGCUGUUCGCCAUUUAAAGUGGUACGCGAGCUGGGUUUAGAACGUCGUGAGACAGUUCGGUCCCUAUCUGCCGUGGGCGCUGGAGAACUGAGGGGGGCUGCUCCUAGUACGAGAGGACCGGAGUGGACGCAUCACUGGUGUUCGGGUUGUCAUGCCAAUGGCACUGCCCGGUAGCUAAAUGCGGAAGAGAUAAGUGCUGAAAGCAUCUAAGCACGAAACUUGCCCCGAGAUGAGUUCUCCCUGACCCUUUAAGGGUCCUGAAGGAACGUUGAAGACGACGACGUUGAUAGGCCGGGUGUGUAAGCGCAGCGAUGCGUUGAGCUAACCGGUACUAAUGAACCGUGAGGCUUAACCUU
Molecule: ribosomal RNA, 1580 nt
Filed under: Escherichia coli
Lineage: Bacteria; Pseudomonadati; Pseudomonadota; Gammaproteobacteria; Enterobacterales; Enterobacteriaceae
Description: partial 23S ribosomal RNA
Rfam family: Bacterial large subunit ribosomal RNA
Source: RNAcentral